Molecule: transfer RNA, 74 nt
Filed under: Pedobacter sp.
Lineage: Bacteria; Pseudomonadati; Bacteroidota; Sphingobacteriia; Sphingobacteriales; Sphingobacteriaceae
Also listed under: 2 other names
Description: tRNA-Cys
Rfam family: tRNA
About the family: Transfer RNA (tRNA) molecules are approximately 80 nucleotides in length.
Source: RNAcentral
AGUCAUGUGGCCGAGUGGUUAGGUGGGGGUCUGCAAAACCUUAAACGGUGGUUCGAAUCCACCCUUGACGUCCA